GCCCCUUUCUGCGCCUACCAAUCGCCAGCCUCCACAGAGCAGACCGCUGUUCUAAACUGUAACACUGAUUCUGUUUUGUCCAUUUUUGUCCUUCAUAUGCAUGCGAUUAUAUUACAUGUACCGUCUCGUAGGGCGGCUUCUCUCACUUGGCAUUAUUGCCUCAUCCCUCUACUUCUCUUCUACUUUCCCUCUUGCCUGGGACUAAAGUGCCAAUGUGGAGAGAAAACAUCAUGGAUCUGCACUGCAUGUUCAUGACAAGGACUGUAUAACAUAUUGUGCAAAGACCCCCUGGGAUGUGGAUGUGGAUGUGGAUGAAAUAAGCUUGAACUUUGAUUUCUCUGCUCGUCCCUGCAAAGAAAAUAAAGUUUGUAUCCCAAA
RNAcentral lists this long non-coding RNA (378 nucleotides) under Chinchilla lanigera (long-tailed chinchilla). Its description in RNAcentral is "lncRNA (ENSCLAG00000025158.1)". Lineage: Eukaryota; Metazoa; Chordata; Mammalia; Rodentia; Chinchillidae. The record is from RNAcentral.